RNAcentral lists this unclassified non-coding RNA (302 nucleotides) under Hevea brasiliensis (rubber tree). Lineage: Eukaryota; Viridiplantae; Streptophyta; Magnoliopsida; Malpighiales; Euphorbiaceae. The record is from RNAcentral.
UCCUUGGCUGACGUGAUGGUUACUUCGACCUCAUAGCGAGAACCCAUUUUGGAGGAUAAAUGUGAAGAUGAAGUAAAUAAGAAGGGCGAAAUACUCAGACUCGGUGUUUUGCCGGCGAUUUUAAGCUCUAGUGUUACCUCUUUAAAUAGGUUGCAGUCUUGCAGAAUGGUCCUUACUGGGGUUGUUUUAUCUAAAAGAAGGAGAUGAAGCAGCGUGAUACGAUUUCUUUACCAUUUUAUCCCUAGUUCCGAGACUUUUGAAUUUUGAUUUGACGAUAAGUUAAGGGCCUUUUGGACAAGAUA